Molecule: long non-coding RNA, 399 nt
Filed under: Oncorhynchus kisutch (coho salmon)
Lineage: Eukaryota; Metazoa; Chordata; Actinopteri; Salmoniformes; Salmonidae
Description: lncRNA (ENSOKIG00005006359.1)
Source: RNAcentral
AUCAUUCUCUCUACUAUUCUUCUGAAUUUCAAAUUUUUUAAUAAAGUGAUGAUCCUAACUGACCUAAAACAGGGACUUUUUUACUAGGAUUACAUGUCAGGAAUUGUGAAAAGGUGUAUGUAAACUUCCGACUUCAACUGUAUAUAUUCCCUCGAACUACUCGGAGACACUUUUGGAAAAAAGAAGCACUUUAACUUUAGGAUCGGACAUUUUGAGGAUCGUGAUUUUGGGACUAAGUACAUUACCCAUCCUGACAACCUGGCGCUAAUUUAGAAGCUUCUGGAAGCACCAUCCAAGCAAGAAAAUAAACACACCGCAGACUACAUGUACAUGUGAGUAUAAGUACAAUGUAAUUAAUAGGCGUUACACAGAAUUUAGUUUCGUAUUUCGUAUUUCUAU